Lagopus leucura (white-tailed ptarmigan) is the source of this 134-nucleotide non-coding RNA. The record is from RefSeq and is a predicted model, not a curated record. NCBI's taxonomy places the organism in Eukaryota, Metazoa, Chordata, Aves, Galliformes, Phasianidae.
GUCUCCUCCCGUGGUAGCGCUGCAAGGAGGAGUCCCUCUUGCAGCCAGUGGGAAGAGACAGAAUAAAAACCAGAGGAAAGUCGUCGUGGCUGCCAGGAGCUGGUGGCUGUCAUGUUUUCCUGCCUCUUACACUG